Molecule: ribosomal RNA, 473 nt
Filed under: uncultured bacterium
Lineage: Bacteria
Description: bacterial SSU rRNA
Rfam family: Bacterial small subunit ribosomal RNA
Source: RNAcentral
AACGAACGCUGGCGGCAGGCUUAACACAUGCAAGUCGAGCGAAGACUUCGGUCUUAGCGGCGGACGGGUGAGUAACACGUGGGUGAUCUGCCCUGCACUUUGGGAUAAGCCUGGGAAACUGGGUCUAAUACCGAAUAUGACCACGCACUUCACGGUGUGUGGUGGAAAGCUUUUGCGGUGUGGGAUGGGCCCGCGGCCUAUCAGCUUGUUGGUGGGGUAAUGGCCUACCAAGGCGACGACGGGUAGCCGGCCUGAGAGGGUGACCGGCCACACUGGGACUGAGAUACGGCCCAGACUCCUACGGGAGGCAGCAGUGGGGAAUAUUGCACAAUGGGCGCAAGCCUGAUGCAGCGACGCCGCGUGAGGGAUGACGGCCUUCGGGUUGUAAACCUCUUUCAGUAGGGACGAAGCGCAAGUGACGGUACCUAUAGAAGAAGGACCGGCCAACUACGUGCCAGCAGCCGCCGUAAAAC